This 507-nucleotide ribosomal RNA is filed under the name Heteropenaeus longimanus. RNAcentral describes it as "partial 12S ribosomal RNA". The stretch from base 136 to 507 matches the Rfam family "Microsporidia small subunit ribosomal RNA", at positions 752 to 1218 of the family's 1311-position model. The record is from RNAcentral. Lineage: Eukaryota; Metazoa; Arthropoda; Malacostraca; Decapoda; Penaeidae.
CUAUUGAUAAAGGGUGAAAUCAAUUUUUUGAUUUAGAGUUGGCUAAGAAAUGUAAGUUUAAUUUGAAGCUAUUAAGAUAAGGAGAUGAACCAGGAUUAGAUACCCUGUUACACCUUAUUUGAAUUGAAAACACCAGGGUACUAAACAGUUAUUAUCUUGAAACUCAAAGGAUUUGGCGGUAAUUUAGUCUAUUUAGAGGAACCUGUCCUGUAAUCGAUAGUCCACGCAAUAUCUUGCUUUAUUUAGUAGUAAUCAGUUUGUAUACCGUCAUUAUUAGGUAACUUUAAUAAAAUUUAUUCAGUUACUGGAAUAGUAUAGCUAAUAUAUUAGAUCAAGGUGCAGCUUAUAAUAAAGAAGAGAUGGGUUACAAUAUUACAUGUAUAUAACGGAUCAAUUAAUGAAAUAUAAUUGUAAAGGAGGAUUUAAGAGUAAAAAAGUUUUAACAUGACUUAUUGACUAUAGCCCUAGAUUAUGUACACAUCGCCCGUCGCUCUCGUUAAUUAAAGC